Molecule: ribosomal RNA, 253 nt
Filed under: uncultured bacterium
Lineage: Bacteria
Description: partial 16S ribosomal RNA
Rfam family: Bacterial small subunit ribosomal RNA
Source: RNAcentral
UACGAAGGGUGCUAGCGUUGUUCGGAAUUACUGGGCGUAAAGCGCGCGCAGGCGGUCUUCCAAGUCAGUGGUGAAAUCCCGGAGCUCAACUCCGGAACUGCCAUUGAAACUGUUAGACUUGAGGAUGAGAGAGGUGAGUGGAAUUCCCAGUGUAGAGGUGAAAUUCGUAGAUAUUGGGAAGAACACCGGUGGCGAAGGCGGCUCACUGGCUCAUUACUGACGCUCAGGCGCGAUAGCGUGGGGAUCAAACAGG